RNAcentral lists this ribosomal RNA (468 nucleotides) under uncultured bacterium. Its description in RNAcentral is "partial 16S ribosomal RNA". It matches the Rfam family "Bacterial small subunit ribosomal RNA", at positions 29 to 507 of the family's 1533-position model. The record is from RNAcentral.
UACGAACGCUGGCGGCGUGCUUAACACAUGCAAGUCGAACGGAAAGGCCCUGCUUUUGUGGGGUGCUCGAGUGGCGAACGGGUGAGUAACACGUGAGUAACCUGCCCUUGACUUUGGGAUAACUUCAGGAAACUGGGGCUAAUACCGGAUAGGAGCUCCUGCUGCAUGGUGGGGGUUGGAAAGUUUCGGCGGUUGGGGAUGGACUCGCGGCUUAUCAGCUUGUUGGUGGGGUAGUGGCUUACCAAGGCUUUGACGGGUAGCCGGCCUGAGAGGGUGACCGGCCACAUUGGGACUGAGAUACGGCCCAGACGCCUACGGGAGGCAGCAGUGGGGAAUAUUGCACAAUGGGCGGAAGCCUGAUGCAGCAACGCCGCGUGCGGGAUGACGGCCUUCGGGUUGUAAACCGAUUUCGCCUGUGACGAAGCGUGAGUGACGGUAAUGGGUAAAGAAGCACCGGCUAACUACGUG